UGGCGACCGGCGCACGGGUGAGUAACGCGUAUCCAACCUGCCCUUCACCACGGGAUAACCCGGCGAAAGUCGGACUAAUACCGUAUGUUGUCCAUUGACGGCAUCCGAUUUGGACGAAAGGCUUAGCGGUGAGGGAUGGGGAUGCGUCCGAUUAGCUUGACGGCGGGGUAACGGCCCACCGUGGCAACGAUCGGUAGGGGUUCUGAGAGGAAGGUCCCCCACACUGGAACUGAGACACGGUCCAGACUCC
RNAcentral lists this ribosomal RNA (250 nucleotides) under uncultured Prevotella sp. Its description in RNAcentral is "partial 16S ribosomal RNA". It matches the Rfam family "Bacterial small subunit ribosomal RNA", at positions 89 to 339 of the family's 1533-position model. Lineage: Bacteria; Pseudomonadati; Bacteroidota; Bacteroidia; Bacteroidales; Prevotellaceae. The record is from RNAcentral.